This 1510-nucleotide ribosomal RNA is filed under the name Leucobacter luti. RNAcentral's name for it is "16S ribosomal RNA". It matches the Rfam family "Bacterial small subunit ribosomal RNA". Lineage: Bacteria; Bacillati; Actinomycetota; Actinomycetes; Micrococcales; Microbacteriaceae. The record is from RNAcentral.
UGAUCCUGGCUCAGGACGAACGCUGGCGGCGUGCUUAACACAUGCAAGUCGAACGAUGAAGCCUAGCUUGCUAGGUGGAAGAGUGGCGAACGGGUGAGUAACACGUGAGCAACCUGCCCUUCACUCUGGGAUAAGCACUGGAAACGGUGUCUAAUACUGGAUAUGUCCCAUCACCGCAUGGUGUGUGGGUGGAAAGAUUUAUCGGUGAAGGAUGGGCUCGCGGCCUAUCAGCUUGUUGGUGAGGUAGUGGCUCACCAAGGCGACGACGGGUAGCCGGCCUGAGAGGGUGACCGGCCACACUGGGACUGAGACACGGCCCAGACUCCUACGGGAGGCAGCAGUGGGGAAUAUUGCACAAUGGGCGCAAGCCUGAUGCAGCAACGCCGCGUGAGGGAUGACGGCCUUCGGGUUGUAAACCUCUUUUAGUAGGGAAGAAGCGCAAGUGACGGUACCUGCAGAAAAAGCACCGGCUAACUACGUGCCAGCAGCCGCGGUAAUACGUAGGGUGCAAGCGUUGUCCGGAAUUAUUGGGCGUAAAGAGCUCGUAGGCGGCUUGUCGCGUCUGCUGUGAAAACCCGAGGCUCAACCUCGGGCCUGCAGUGGGUACGGGCAGGCUAGAGUGCGGUAGGGGAGAUUGGAAUUCCUGGUGUAGCGGUGGAAUGCGCAGAUAUCAGGAGGAACACCGAUGGCGAAGGCAGAUCUCUGGGCCGUAACUGACGCUGAGGAGCGAAAGCAUGGGGAGCGAACAGGAUUAGAUACCCUGGUAGUCCAUGCCGUAAACGUUGGGAACUAGAUGUAGGGCCUGUUCCACGGGUUCUGUGUCGUAGCUAACGCAUUAAGUUCCCCGCCUGGGGAGUACGGCCGCAAGGCUAAAACUCAAAGGAAUUGACGGGGGCCCGCACAAGCGGCGGAGCAUGCGGAUUAAUUCGAUGCAACGCGAAGAACCUUACCAAGGCUUGACAUAUACGAGAACGGGCGAGAGAUCGUCAACUCUUUGGACACUCGUAAACAGGUGGUGCAUGGUUGUCGUCAGCUCGUGUCGUGAGAUGUUCGGUUAAGUCCGGCAACGAGCGCAACCCUCGUCCUAUGUUGCCAGCACGUUAUGGUGGGAACUCAUGGGAUACUGCCGUGGUCAACACGGAGGAAGGUGGGGAUGACGUCAAAUCAUCAUGCCCCUUAUGUCUUGGGCUUCACGCAUGCUACAAUGGCCGAUACAAAGGGCUGCGAUACCGCGAGGUGGAGCGAAUCCCAAAAAGUCGGUCUCAGUUCGGAUUGGGGUCUGCAACUCGACCCCAUGAAGUCGGAGUCGCUAGUAAUCGCAGAUCAGCAACGCUGCGGUGAAUACGUUCCCGGGCCUUGUACACACCGCCCGUCAAGUCAUGAAAGUCGGUAACACCCGAAGCCGGUGGCCUAACCCUUGUGGAGGGAGCCGUCGAAGGUGGGACUGGUGAUUAGGACUAAGUCGUAACAAGGUAGCCGUACCGGAAGGUGCGGCUGGAUCACCUCCUUU